This 72-nucleotide transfer RNA is filed under the name Camelus dromedarius (Arabian camel). It matches the Rfam family "tRNA". From Rfam's summary of the family: Transfer RNA (tRNA) molecules are approximately 80 nucleotides in length. RNAcentral also lists the same sequence under 2 other names. The record is from Rfam by way of RNAcentral. Lineage: Eukaryota; Metazoa; Chordata; Mammalia; Artiodactyla; Camelidae.
GAAAAUAUAGCUCAGUGGUAGAGUACAUGCCUAGCAUGUACAAGGUCCUGGGUUCAAUUCCCAGUACCUCCA